RNAcentral lists this long non-coding RNA (863 nucleotides) under Macaca mulatta (Rhesus monkey). RNAcentral's name for it is "lncRNA (ENSMMUG00000059159.1)". Lineage: Eukaryota; Metazoa; Chordata; Mammalia; Primates; Cercopithecidae. The record is from RNAcentral.
GAGGGGACCACAGGAAGGUGCCAACACCAGGAGGCUGAGAUCGUGGGGACUGUCUCAGUGUUUCCACAACAGGGCAUUUUUCAAGGAGGCCAAAUGGCAUUUGAUGUUCAGAAACCCACCUCUCUGACAACAGCCCACCUGAGCACAUGGAGAGUUUCUCUGUCCUGUGGAAAAGUUGGAGGUAUAGCUGUCACUCUCAUGUUCGGAGCUGCUCUCUUUCUGAGCCAUCAAGAGCUUGCACACCGUGAGAGAUGCGUUUGGCCUGAGUCCCCAUCGGGCCUACAGCCCCCCACCUUCAUGUGCACCUGGCCUCUAGUCAUGUGUUCUCCUGCCUCGGAAGAAAUGGAACUCCAUCCUGAAGAUAAAAGAUUUCUGCUGCUGGGCUCACUUGAAGAACUUUCUGACUUACAUGAAUAACUAGCAUGGUAUAAACACACUUUAUCUGAAUACAUGCUUUCUUCUUAUUCCUGUAUGCUCUUUUGAAGUCAGAGAUAACAUGUCUUCAUCUUUUAUUUCCCCAGCAUGGCCAGAGACUUGUAUACAGUGGGUGCUAAUUAAGUAUUUGUUGAAUUGAACUGGAAAGCCAAAGUGAAAUGCUCUCAGUCCUCGCAAUGGGUUGUUCCUUCUGUGUUUAAAAUCUCAUUCCAGAGCCACACUGUGACCGUCUACGUGAAUCGUGCAUAUCUAUGUUACCUCCGCCUCUCCUGAUGCAGCAAAAGCAUUUAACAAAAGCUGCACCUCCCAUUCGGAAGCCUGCCUUCUUACUGGGAGGACAGCUCUCGUGUGUACAUUCAUUCCUUGCUGGAGAGGUGGGUGUUGGGUGGAGUUGGGGGAGGGAGAAGUUGUUAAAACACCAUGGGAAC